GAUGAACGCUGGCGGCGUGCCUAAUACAUGCAAGUCGAGCGAACAGACGAGGAGCUUGCUCCUCUGACGUUAGCGGCGGACGGGUGAGUAACACGUGGAUAACCUACCUAUAAGACUGGGAUAACUUCGGGAAACCGGAGCUAAUACCGGAUAAUAUAUUGAACCGCAUGGUUCAAUAGUGAAAGACGGUUUUGCUGUCACUUAUAGAUGGAUCCGCGCCGCAUUAGCUAGUUGGUAAGGUAACGGCUUACCAAGGCAACGAUGCGUAGCCGACCUGAGAGGGUGAUCGGCCACACUGGAACUGAGAACCGGUCCAGACUCCUACGGGAGGCAGCAGUAGGGAAUCUUCCGCAAUGGGCGAAAGCCUGACGGAGCAACGCCGCGUGAGUGAUGAAGGUCUCCGGAUCGUAAAACUCUGUUAUUAGGGAAGAACAAAUGUGUAAGUAACUAUGCACGUCUUGACGGUACCUAAUCAGAAAGCCACGGCUAACUACGUG
RNAcentral lists this ribosomal RNA (497 nucleotides) under uncultured bacterium. RNAcentral's name for it is "partial 16S ribosomal RNA". It matches the Rfam family "Bacterial small subunit ribosomal RNA", at positions 28 to 507 of the family's 1533-position model. The record is from RNAcentral.